Molecule: long non-coding RNA, 760 nt
Filed under: Linum usitatissimum (flax)
Lineage: Eukaryota; Viridiplantae; Streptophyta; Magnoliopsida; Malpighiales; Linaceae
Description: long non-coding RNA (LUSI_LNC002058)
Source: RNAcentral
GAAGAAGUAGUAACUCUCGCUAGGGUUCCGUCGCCGCCACCAACAACAACGGUCAAACUCCACAUCCGCCGCCACAACUAGCGUUAGCAUAGCUCUCUGGGGAAAUCACAGACACACAAACACGCAGGAGCUUCAACAAACAGCAGUGAAAGCCCCAUAGAGAUGAGAGUGUAGAGCAAUAAGGCAACGAGAGAAUGCGCGUAGGUCGAGCUGCAGAUCCAUGAAAUGCGGCAGGGGGAAGUGAAGAUCUAGGGGAGUGACGAGUCGUCGUCUCCGGGCGGCGAUUGUAUGCUGCCGGCGGAAGGGGGCGCCGGAAGUUGAGACGGAGAAUGAAGGAAGGAGAUUGUGGGGGAAAAGAGUGUCUGUUGAAAGCGAAGAAGAAAAGAGGGAGUGGAAAAAGGGGGAAAUGGAGAGAAAAGGAAGAAGAGAAGCUUUUAAUGCAGAAGGCGGGAGCAGUGGAGCUGCUUCCGGGAAACGAUGAUGCCCUUGUCUGCUCCUCACGCGUCUGCUCCCACUGUAUACGAGCGUGCCUUCACGCGCACAUUUGAAACCAAACGACCGAAACUGUUCAUGAACUGGACCGAGUCUAGUUUUAAAAUCACCUGUAGGUUUUUCGUUAUAUAUUUAAGAUGUUCGAGCUGAAAAAUUAAAAUUAAAAUUCAUUACGAACCAACACAAAAUUGAUUUAGUAAUUAUCAUCGACGAGCUAAACAAUAUUAAUAAGUUUAAAUUAAAAAAAUAAGUUAUUGUUAAAUUUAUA